RNAcentral lists this ribosomal RNA (497 nucleotides) under uncultured bacterium. RNAcentral's name for it is "partial 16S ribosomal RNA". It matches the Rfam family "Bacterial small subunit ribosomal RNA", at positions 28 to 507 of the family's 1533-position model. The record is from RNAcentral.
GAUGAACGCUGGCGGCGUGCCUAAUACAUGCAAGUCGAGCGAACGGACGAUACGCUUGCUUUUCUGAUGUUUGCGGCGGACGGGUGUGUAACACGUGUAUAACCUACCUAUCAUUCUGGUAUAACUUCGGGAAACCGGCUCUAAUACCGUAUAAUAUUUUGAACCGCUUGGUUCAUAAGUGAACGACGGUCUUUCUGUCUCUUCUAGCUGUUUCCUGGCUUCAUUAGCUAGUUGGUACGGUAACUGCUUACCAAGGCAACGAUGCAUCGCCGACCUGACAGAGGGGUCGGCCACACGGGAACGGAGACAGGGACAAGAGGACUACGGGAGGCAGCAGAAGGGAACGGGCCGCAAUGGGCGAAAGCCUGACGGAGCAACGCGGCGUGAGAGAGGAAGGUCUUGGGAGCGGAAAACUCUGUUAUGAGGGAAGAACAGAUGUGUAAGUAAAUGUGCACAGAUUGACGGUACCUAAUCAGAAAGCAACGGCUAACUACGUG